This 253-nucleotide ribosomal RNA is filed under the name uncultured Sphingobacterium sp. Its description in RNAcentral is "partial 16S ribosomal RNA". It matches the Rfam family "Bacterial small subunit ribosomal RNA", at positions 524 to 776 of the family's 1533-position model. The record is from RNAcentral. Lineage: Bacteria; Pseudomonadati; Bacteroidota; Sphingobacteriia; Sphingobacteriales; Sphingobacteriaceae.
UACGGAGGAUCCGAGCGUUAUCCGGAAUUAUUGGGUUUAAAGGGUGCGUAGGCGGCCAGAUAAGUCAGGGGUGAAAGUCGGCAGCUCAACUGUCGCAGUGCCUUUGAUACUGUUUGGCUUGAAUUCGGUUGAAGAUGGCGGAAUGAGACAAGUAGCGGUGAAAUGCAUAGAUAUGUCUCAGAACCCCGAUUGCGAAGGCAGUUAUCUAAGCCGUUAUUGACGCUGAUGCACGAAAGCGUGGGUAGCAAACAGG